CCUACGGGUGGCAGCAGUGAGGAAUAUUGGUCAAUGGGCGGAAGCCUGAACCAGCCAAGUAGCGUGCAGGAUGACGGCCCUACGGGUUGUAAACUGCUUUUAUACGGGAAUAACGCGCCUUACGUGUAGGGCUUUGUAUGUACCGUAUGAAUCAGGACAGGCUAAUUCCGUGCCAGCAGCCGCGGUAAUACGGAAGGUACGGGCGUUGUCCGGUUUUAUUUGGGUUAAAGGGAGCGUAGGCCGGCUGUCAUGCGUGCUGUGAAAUGUUCGGGCUCAACCCUGGCCUUGCAGCGUAAACUGGCGUGCUUGAGUCCGCGGAGGGAAGGCGGAAUUCGUGGUGUAGCGGUGAAAUGCUUAGAUAUGACGAAGAACCCCGAUUGCGAAGGCAGCUUGCUGCAGCGGAACUGACGCUGAUGCUCGAAAGCGCGGGUAUCGAACAGGAUUAGAUACCCGGGUAGUC
This 460-nucleotide ribosomal RNA is filed under the name uncultured bacterium. RNAcentral describes it as "partial 16S ribosomal RNA". It matches the Rfam family "Bacterial small subunit ribosomal RNA", at positions 338 to 795 of the family's 1533-position model. The record is from RNAcentral.